This 2900-nucleotide ribosomal RNA is filed under the name Clostridioides difficile. Its description in RNAcentral is "bacterial LSU rRNA". It matches the Rfam family "Bacterial large subunit ribosomal RNA". The record is from RNAcentral. Lineage: Bacteria; Bacillati; Bacillota; Clostridia; Peptostreptococcales; Peptostreptococcaceae.
UGGUCAAGUUAUUAAGGGUGCAGGGCGGAUGCCUUGGCACUAGGAGCCGAUGAAGGACGUGAUAAGCUGCGAUAAGCUUCGGGGAGUUGCACGUAAACUUUGAUCCGAAGAUUUCCGAAUGAGGAAACUCACUUAGAGUAAUGUCUAAGUAUCAUUAAGUGAAUACAUAGCUUAAUGAGGGGAACUCAGGGAACUGAAACAUCUAAGUACCUGAAGGAAGAGAAAGAAAUUCGAUUCCGUAAGUAGCGGCGAGCGAACGCGGAUUAGCCCAAACCAAUAAAGUUUUCUUUGUUGGGGUUGCGGACAUAUCAUAACGAAGAGGUAUCGUAAUUGAAGAGGUUUGGAAAGACCCACCACAGAAGGUAAUAGUCCUGUAUGUUAAACGAGAAGACUUCAGAUAUGAUCCAGAGUACCACGGGACACGUGAAACCCUGUGGGAAGCAGGAGGGACCACCCUCCAAGGCUAAAUACUACCUAGUGACCGAUAGCGUAUAGUACCGUGAGGGAAAGGUGAAAAGAACCCCGGGAGGGGAGUGAAAUAGAACCUGAAACCCUGCACUUACAAGCUGUGGAAGCACAUUUCUUGUGUGACCGCGUACUUUUUGUAGAACGGGCCAACGAGUUACGUUAAGUAGCAAGGUUAAGCACUUAAGGUGCGGAGCCGUAGCGAAAGCGAGUUUUAACUGAGCGUUCAGUUACUUGACGUAGACCCGAAACCGGGCGACCUACCCAUGAGCAGGAUGAAGCGAAAGUAAAAUUUCGUGGAGGUCCGAACCCACGAGCGUUGAAAAGCUCGGGGAUGACUUGUGGGUAGCGGUGAAAUUCCAAUCGAGCCCGGAGAUAGCUGGUUCUCCCCGAAAUAGCUUUAGGGCUAGCCUCAAGGUGAGAGAUACGGAGGUAGAGCACUGAAUGUCCUAGGGGGUAUUGCACCUACCGAAGACUAUCAAACUCCGAAUGCCGUCAUCUUAUACUUGGGAGUCAGACUGUGGGUGAUAAGAUUCAUAGUCGAAAGGGCAACAGCCCAGAUCGUCAGCUAAGGUCCCUAAAUGUAAGUUAAGUGGUAAAGGAUGUGGGAUUGCACAGACAACCAGGAUGUUGGCUUAGAAGCAGCCACUCAUUCAAAGAGUGCGUAAUAGCUCACUGGUCGAGUGAUCCUGCGCCGAAGAUUUCCGGGGCUAAAACUUACUACCGAAGCUACGGCAUCAGUAAUGAUGGGUAGGGGAGCUUCCCAUACGGGUUGAAGCAUGACCGUAAGGACAUGUGGACAGUAUGGGAGUGAGAAUGUUGGCAUGAGUAGCGAGAUGUGGGUGAGAAUCCCACAGGCCGUAAACCCAAGGUUUCCAGGGGAAGGUUCGUCCGCCCUGGGUUAGUCGGGACCUAAGCUGAGGCCGAAAGGCGUAGGUGAUGGACAACAGGUUGAUAUUCCUGUACUACCGAUAACCGUUUGAGAGAAGGGAUGACACAGUAGGAUAAGCUAAGCACACUGUUGGUUAUGUGUGCCCAAGCAUUGAGGCAGUCAAAGCAGGCAAAUCCGCUUUGAUAAUGCUGGGAUGUGAUGGGGAGCGAAAUUUAGUAGCGAAGUAGCUGAUUUCACACUGUCAAGAAAAGUCUCUAUCGAGGUUAAAGGUACCCGUACCGCAAACCGACACAGGUGGGUGAGGAGAGUAUCCUAAGGCCAGCGAGAGAACUGUUGUUAAGGAACUCGGCAAAAUGACCCCGUAACUUAGGGAUAAGGGGUGCCACCAUCCGGUGGCCGCAGAGAAUAGGCCCAAGCGACUGUUUACCAAAAACAUAGGUUUCUGCUAAGUCGCAAGACGAUGUAUAGGAGCUGACGCCUGCCCGGUGCUGGAAGGUUAAGGGGAUCUGUUAGAGCAAUCGAAGCAGUGAACUUAAGCCCCAGUAAACGGCGGCCGUAACUAUAACGGUCCUAAGGUAGCGAAAUUCCUUGUCGGGUAAGUUCCGACCCGCACGAAAGGCGUAACGAUUUGGGCACUGUCUCAACAACAGACUCGGUGAAAUUGUAAUUCCGGUGAAGAUGCCGGAUAUCUGCGACAGGACGGAAAGACCCCAUGGAGCUUUACUGUAGCUUGACAUUGGGUCUUGGUACUACAUGUACAGGAUAGGUGGGAGGCUUUGAAACCAGGACGCCAGUUUUGGCGGAGCCAUCCUUGGGAUACCACCCUUGUAGUACUGGGACUCUAACCAUAGGCCAUGAAUCUGGUCUUGGGACACUGUCAGGUGGGCAGUUUGACUGGGGCGGUCGCCUCCCAAAAGGUAACGGAGGCGCUCAAAGGUUCUCUCAGUACGGUCGGAAAUCGUACGUAGAGUGUAAAGGCAAAAGAGAGCUUGAUUGCAAGACAUACAGGUCGAGCAAGGAUGAAAAUCGGACUUAGUGAUCCGGUGGUUCUGCGUGGAAGGGCCAUCGCUCAACGGAUAAAAGCUACCCUGGGGAUAACAGGCUUAUCUCCCCCAAGAGUCCACAUCGACGGGGAGGUUUGGCACCUCGAUGUCGGCUCAUCACAUCCUGGGGCUGUAGUAGGUCCCAAGGGUUGGGCUGUUCGCCCAUUAAAGUGGUACGCGAGCUGGGUUCAGAACGUCGUGAGACAGUUCGGUCCCUAUCCGUCGCAGGCGUAGGAAAUUUGAGAAGACCUGUCCUUAGUACGAGAGGACCGGGAUGGACGUACCUCUGGUGUACCAGUUGUUCUGCCAAGGGCAUGGCUGGGUAGCUAUGUACGGAAUGGAUAAGCGCUGAAAGCAUCUAAGCGCGAAGCCAACUUCAAGAUAAGAUUUCCCACCGCAAGGGUAAGACCCCAGAAAGACUAUCUGGUUGAUAGGUCGAAGGUGUAAGUGCAGCAAUGUAUUUAGCUUAUCGAUACUAAUAGGUCGAGGACUUGACCAAU